This 1065-nucleotide unclassified non-coding RNA is filed under the name Hevea brasiliensis (rubber tree). The record is from RNAcentral. Lineage: Eukaryota; Viridiplantae; Streptophyta; Magnoliopsida; Malpighiales; Euphorbiaceae.
AUUUUAGUCAAUUGGAAAUUCAAGGGCAAAACUGGAAUAAGGAAAUCUUAAUGGCAUAAUUGCAAAUUCUGCCAAAACAAGAACCUAUUUGCAGCCACAUGACCGGUGGCAAUUUUGUAAAUAAUAGCAGUGGCAGUUUUGCAAUUACAAGCAAAAGUAAUGGCAGUAUAAUACAGUGGCAAAACUGUAAAUAUUAUGAAACAGAGUGGCAACAAACUGCUCCUUUCUCCUUCCUCGUCCAAUCUGGUUUUCCAAAAACCAGCAGCCCACACUUGAAACCACCAAGUGCAGCAGGUUCAGCAGCCAUCUCCAUGGCUGUUUUCGGCCGAAGGAGCGUCGUUGACACUGCCAGAACCAGCCAGCAGCAGCAUCAAGCUGCCAUUCUCCUGUCGCACAACCAGCAGCCUCGCAUGGCUUUGAUGGCCAUAAAUCUGCAGCAUUUGAGGUGGCUGGACGACGCAUCGCCACCAUGAAGACCACCGGACGUCCAACAUGCAUUCCGAAUGGUCCUUUGGCAGAGCCAAUCUCCAGCAAACGAGCUUCCUUGCUCGAUCUGGAAGACCCUCAAAUGGGUUUCAAAAACAGAAAAAAAAAAUCCCAGAUUUUUCCUUCCUUUUUUUUUAUUUUAUAUUAUUAUAGAUUAAAAUCUAUAAGAAACAAAACCCAAAUCUUCAAAAUUUUCAGAUCCAAAAUUGAGCAGAGGAAAAAAAAAAUUUGGGAGAAACAAUAUAUAAUCACAUGAAUUUAAUACUCAAACUAACACCAACAACAACAAAACAUUUCAUAAUUAAUUAAAAUGGCUCUGAUACCACUGUAAGGAAGCAUUAAUUUUCAAUUAAACAAGAUCAACUUUAACUAAGUAUGGAAUGGUGAUAAUUAAAAUGAAAUUAUUUAUUAAAUUACCUCAAACAGCUUGUGAAAUUUUCUAACCACCGGACCGGGUUGUAGCAAACCACCAGCCGUCCAGAUGUCCGGCCUCUGAUGGUAUCCACACAGACCGGUUGUGAGGAAAUUCUCCAAGACACUCUUAGAGAAUAUUGGGAGUUCUGAGUGCUAGCUCUUUUC